Molecule: transfer RNA, 73 nt
Filed under: Microcaldota archaeon
Lineage: Archaea; Nanobdellati; Microcaldota
Description: tRNA-Val
Rfam family: tRNA
About the family: Transfer RNA (tRNA) molecules are approximately 80 nucleotides in length. Their secondary structure includes four short double-helical elements and three loops (D, anti-codon, and T loops). Further hydrogen bonds mediate the characteristic L-shaped molecular structure. tRNAs have two regions of fundamental functional importance: the anti-codon, which is responsible for specific mRNA codon recognition, and the 3' end, to which the tRNAs corresponding amino acid is attached (by aminoacyl-tRNA synthetases). tRNAs cope with the degeneracy of the genetic code in two manners: having more than one tRNA (with a specific anti-codon) for a particular amino acid; and 'wobble' base-pairing, i.e. permitting non-standard base-pairing at the 3rd anti-codon position.
Source: RNAcentral
GGGCUCGUAGUCGAGUGGUUAAGACGCUUCGUUUACACCGAAGAAAUCCGGAGUUCAAUUCUCCGCGGGCCCA